CGCCGCCGCGGGAAUACGUAGGUGGCAAGCGUUGUCCGGAAUUAUUGGGCGUAAAGGGCUCGCAGGCGGUUUCUUAAGUCUGAUGUGAAAGCCCCCGGCUCAACCGGGGAGGGUCAUUGGAAACUGGGAAACUUGAGUGCAGAAGAGGAGAGUGGAAUUCCACGUGUAGCGGUGAAAUGCGUAGAGAUGUGGAGGAACACCAGUGGCGAAGGCGACUCUCUGGUCUGUAACUGACGCUGAGGAGCGAAAGCGUGGGGAGCGAACAGGAUUAGAUACCCCAGUAGUCCCUGUCUCUUAUACA
RNAcentral lists this ribosomal RNA (301 nucleotides) under uncultured bacterium. RNAcentral's name for it is "partial 16S ribosomal RNA". It matches the Rfam family "Bacterial small subunit ribosomal RNA", at positions 510 to 808 of the family's 1533-position model. The record is from RNAcentral.